AUUUAAAUAGCUUAAAAUUUAAAGCUUAGUAUUGAAGUUACUAGUAUAAGAUUAUAAUGUCUUUUUAAAUA
RNAcentral lists this transfer RNA (71 nucleotides) under Brontostoma colossus. RNAcentral's name for it is "tRNA-Phe". Lineage: Eukaryota; Metazoa; Arthropoda; Insecta; Hemiptera; Reduviidae. The record is from RNAcentral.